This 274-nucleotide ribosomal RNA is filed under the name uncultured Anaerolineaceae bacterium. RNAcentral's name for it is "partial 16S ribosomal RNA". It matches the Rfam family "Bacterial small subunit ribosomal RNA", at positions 1097 to 1382 of the family's 1533-position model. The record is from RNAcentral. Lineage: Bacteria; Bacillati; Chloroflexota; Anaerolineae; Anaerolineales; Anaerolineaceae.
CGCAAACCCUCGCUGUGUGUUACAAGUGUCACACGGAACUGCCGGUCAUAAACCGGAGGAAGGUGGGGAUGACGUCAAGUCAGCAUGGCCUUUAUAUCCUGGGCUACACACACGCUACAAUGGGAAGGGACAAUAAGUUGCGAAGCCGCGAGGCGGAGCCAAUCCAGCAAAACUUCCCUCAGUUCAGAUUGCAGGCUGCAACUCGCCUGCAUGAAGUUGGAGUUGCUAGUAAACGCAGGUCAGCCAUACUGCGUUGAAUACGUUCCCGGGGCUU